UUUUAUAAUAACUGAAGAAAACUAUAGCCAUAGCUAUCUGUCUUCAACCCCAUCAAAGACCACAGAAGGAUAAUAUAUAAACUCUAGAAUUGACAGAGACAUCUCGAUACCUGGACAGUCACCCAAAGUUCCUCUGUAACGUUGGGGCAUCCAUCUUCAGCCCAUAGGCCACAGUGUAUCUGGCAGACUCUCCAUGAAGCAGGAACCCUUUAGGACUGUUCAUCUUGUUUUAGUCCCUAAGUAUGUGAGAUGCCAAUGACUAGCAUACGUUGCCUAGGACAAACCAGUGCCAAUUCUUGCAGAACUUGAGGGUCAGCAGGAAACUGGCUUUUGGAAGGAACUGCUGAGGCUGUGGGGUCCUGGUUUCAAGGACAUCUUAUCUUCCUUGAGAAAGAAGAGAGGCCUUUAAAACCACAUCCAGGAAAUCUCUUCAUCUAUCAACAUCUGAGAUUAUGCUAAUGAAGUGACAUCGCCUAUAUAACCCCAGAGGAACCCAGAGGAACCAACCAUUAUGACUGGAAUGGAGGAACCUGUGUGCCACACUCAGACCCCUGGAGAAAACAAAGUGAUACAGAUUGGGUUACUCCCCAAUAGCCAAUGGCUUCUUCACACACAUCUACCUUUGAAACCUCAAUGAGAAACUAAAUAAGGAGGUACAGGGAAGGUUUGUGAUUGGUGGACAAUGGUAUUUUUUGCUAAGGUGAUGGUACACACCAACUCCUCAAUGGGAUAAGAAGCUCCUAUCUAGGGUAGUUUGGGAUCUCCCCCUGAAUGUCAUUUGUGUCCCUGACAAUAUCCUGUAUAAUAA
Molecule: long non-coding RNA, 808 nt
Filed under: Cricetulus griseus (Chinese hamster)
Lineage: Eukaryota; Metazoa; Chordata; Mammalia; Rodentia; Cricetidae
Description: lncRNA (ENSCGRG00015039560.1)
Source: RNAcentral